GACCAAUCGUAGUCUAGACCUUUGUUCAAAGAUGAAGACACUUCAGCAGGAAUCAUAUGAGCUUCAGGACCAAAUCACAGACCUACAAAAAGCAGAGGCUAGAUCCAAAGCGUCUCACGCAUGAGAAGAUGGAUGAGUUGAAGAGGGAGCCGCCCCGAGGUGAAGUACAGAAACAUCCUGCAGUAAGGCCAGUCUCACCGAGAGAAAUACCAGAAGAUGGCCACCAUCACACAGAA
Oncorhynchus gorbuscha (pink salmon) is the source of this 236-nucleotide long non-coding RNA. RefSeq lists it as uncharacterized. The record is from RefSeq and is a predicted model, not a curated record. The transcript has 3 exons. Lineage: Eukaryota; Metazoa; Chordata; Actinopteri; Salmoniformes; Salmonidae.